GAACGCUGGCGGCGUGCUUAACACAUGCAAGUCGAGCGGAAAGGCCCUUCGGGGUACUCGAGCGGCGAACGGGUGAGUAACACGUGAGCAACCUGCCCUAGGCUUUGGGAUAACCCCGGGAAACCGGGGCUAAUACCGAAUAUGACCUUUCCUCGCAUGGGGGAAGGUGGAAAGUUUUUCGGCCUGGGAUGGGCUCGCGGCCUAUCAGCUUGUUGGUGGGGUGAUGGCCUACCAAGGCGACGACGGGUAGCCGGCCUGAGAGGGCGACCGGCCACACUGGGACUGAGACACGGCCCAGACUCCUACGGGAGGCAGCAGUGGGGAAUAUUGCACAAUGGGCGGAAGCCUGAUGCAGCGACGCCGCGUGAGGGAUGACGGCCUUCGGGUUGUAAACCUCUUUCAGCAGGGACGAAGCGUAAGUGACGGUACCUGCAGAAGAAGCGCCGGCCAACUACGUGCCAGCAGCCGCGGUAAGACGUAGGGCGCGAGCGUUGUCCGGAUUUAUUGGGCGUAAAGAGCUCGUAGGCGGC
Molecule: ribosomal RNA, 530 nt
Filed under: Micromonospora halotolerans
Lineage: Bacteria; Bacillati; Actinomycetota; Actinomycetes; Micromonosporales; Micromonosporaceae
Description: bacterial SSU rRNA
Rfam family: Bacterial small subunit ribosomal RNA
Source: RNAcentral